Molecule: ribosomal RNA, 597 nt
Filed under: uncultured bacterium
Lineage: Bacteria
Description: bacterial SSU rRNA
Rfam family: Bacterial small subunit ribosomal RNA
Source: RNAcentral
CCUACGGGAGGCAGCAGUGGGGAAUAUUGCACAAUGGGCGAAAGCCUGAUGCAGCGACGCCGCGUGAGGGAUGACGGCCUUCGGGUUGUAAACCUCUUUCAGCAGGGAAGAAGCGAAAGUGACGGUACCUGCAGAAGAAGCGCCGGCUAACUACGUGCCAGCAGCCGCGGUAAUACGUAGGGCGCAAGCGUUGUCCGGAAUUAUUGGGCGUAAAGAGCUCGUAGGCGGCUUGUCACGUCGGUUGUGAAAGCCCGGGGCUUAACCCCGGGUCUGCAGUCGAUACGGGCAGGCUAGAGUGUGGUAGGGGAGAUCGGAAUUCCUGGUGUAGCGGUGAAAUGCGCAGAUAUCAGGAGGAACACCGGUGGCGAAGGCGGAUCUCUGGGCCAUUACUGACGCUGAGGAGCGAAAGCGUGGGGAGCGAACAGGAUUAGAUACCCUGGUAGUCCACGCCGUAAACGGUGGGAACUAGGUGUUGGCGACAUUCCACGUCGUCGGUGCCGCAGCUAACGCAUUAAGUUCCCCGCCUGGGAGUACGGCCGCAAGGCUAAAACUCAAAUGAAUUGACGGCNGAGAGNGCGACGCGACACGAGGGAGAGG